UCUACAAUUACCAGUGUGGCUACUAAACAAGGUCGUCACCUAGCAUCUCACCGGAGAACCCUUCGUUCCACCAGCAUGCCGAAGAGAGCUGCCAUCCUCCUCCUGCUCACCGCGAGCAUGCUCAUUGGCAUGGCGGCAUCAAGGCCGGCGGCGUCGACAAUCGGUGCCGCUCCCCUUCUCCCCGAGAAACUGGUGUUCGUCCCAGGGCUUGAGCACGACAGAGAACACCCCAUGCCCGUGGCACCCGGAUCAGGGAUGAUGACUGGUCGACUGGCCAACGCUGAAGAUACCGUGCUUCGUCCCUGACAACUUCGACCGUGCAGGGAGAGAGCUAGCAUGUUAAAGUGUUAAUAAGUUACGCUAUGUAUAUGCUGUGUGAUGGGGACCGGGAUGCUUGCAUGUACUCCCUCCGUUUCAUAAUUCUCGUCUCAAAUUUGCUCAAAAAUGAAUGUAUCUAUUCCUAAAAUGUGUCUAGAUACAUGUAAGAUUUUGACAAGAAUUAUAAAACGGAGAGAGUAUGUUAUAGCCCAUAUAUAGCGGUAUAGCCAAGAAAUUAAGCCGUACUUACUUCAUGGCCUACUUGCAAAAUGUAGGAUCGAGCUGUCUGAAACUCUGAA
Brachypodium distachyon (stiff brome) is the source of this 617-nucleotide long non-coding RNA. RefSeq lists it as uncharacterized. Lineage: Eukaryota; Viridiplantae; Streptophyta; Magnoliopsida; Poales; Poaceae. The transcript has 2 exons. The record is from RefSeq and is a predicted model, not a curated record.